GACGAACGCUGGCGGCGUGCCUAAUACAUGCAAGUAGAACGCUGAAGGAGGAGCUUGCUUCUCUGGAUGAGUUGCGAACGGGUGAGUAACGCGUAGGUAACCUGCCUGGUAGCGGGGGAUAACUAUUGGAAACGAUAGCUAAUACCGCAUAAUAGUAGAUGUUGCAUGACAUUUGCUUAAAAGGUGCAAUUGCAUCACUACCAGAUGGACCUGCGUUGUAUUAGCUAGUUGGUGGGGUAACGGCUCACCAAGGCGACGAUACCUAGCCGACCUGAGAGGGGGAUCGGCCCCAAUGGGACUGGGAAACGGGCCAGGAUCCUACGGGAGGCAGCAGUAGGGAAUCUUCGGCAAUGGACGGAAGUCUGACCGAGCAACCGCGGGUGAGUGAAGAAGGUUUUCGGAUCGUAAAGCUCUGUUGUAAGAGAAGAACGAGUGUGAGAGUUGAAAGUUCACGCUGUGACGGUAUCUUACCAGAAAGGGACGGCUAACUACGUG
RNAcentral lists this ribosomal RNA (495 nucleotides) under uncultured bacterium. Its description in RNAcentral is "partial 16S ribosomal RNA". It matches the Rfam family "Bacterial small subunit ribosomal RNA", at positions 28 to 507 of the family's 1533-position model. The record is from RNAcentral.